RNAcentral lists this ribosomal RNA (253 nucleotides) under uncultured bacterium. RNAcentral describes it as "partial 16S ribosomal RNA". It matches the Rfam family "Bacterial small subunit ribosomal RNA", at positions 524 to 776 of the family's 1533-position model. The record is from RNAcentral.
UACAGAGGGUGCAAGCGUUGUCCGGAAUCACUGGGCGUAAAGGGCGCGUAGGCGGCCCGAUAAGUAGGGGGUGAAAUCUUGCGGCUCAACCGCAAGGCUGCCUUCUAGACUGUCGGGCUUGAGCACAGUAGAGGCAGGUGGAAUUCCCGGUGUAGCGGUGAAAUGCGUAGAUAUCUUGAGGAAUACCGGUGGCGAAGGCGGCAUCCUGGACCAUUACUGACACUGAUCCGCGAAAGCUAGGGGAGCAAACGGG